GUGUCAGCAGCCGCGGUAAUACGGGGGGUGCAAGCGUUGUUCGGAAUUAUUGGGCGUAAAGAGCGUGUAGGCGGCCGGAUGUGUCAGAUGUGAAAGCCCUGGGCUCAACCCAGGAAGUGCAUUUGAAACUAUCCGGCUUGAGUAGGGGAGAGGGAAGUGGAAUUCCUGGUGUAGAGGUGAAAUUCGUAGAUAUCAGGAGGAACACCGGUGGCGAAGGCGACUUCCUGGCCCUAUACUGACGCUGAGACGCGAGAGCGUGGGUAGCAAACAGGAUUAGAAACCCGAGUAGUCC
Molecule: ribosomal RNA, 292 nt
Filed under: uncultured bacterium
Lineage: Bacteria
Description: partial 16S ribosomal RNA
Rfam family: Bacterial small subunit ribosomal RNA
Source: RNAcentral